Molecule: long non-coding RNA, 515 nt
Organism: Octopus bimaculoides (California two-spot octopus)
Lineage: Eukaryota; Metazoa; Mollusca; Cephalopoda; Octopoda; Octopodidae
Source: RefSeq, a predicted model, not a curated record
UUAAUAAUGAAUUUAAGAAUAAAAAGGAAAAUAACAUGGUAGUAUAGACAUCAUUGGUGGCUACUUAACUAAAUGAAGAACUCUGUGGCUGAACAUAUUAAUUCUGACCUUUGAACAACUCUCAUAAAUAUUUUAUGCAUACUUCACACCUAUGAAGAACUUGUCUUUGAAAAUAGUUUUUAUCUGCAGGAGUGAUCAAAUGGGCUUAGAAAUUCUACCAUCUGCCAAUAAUUUUUAUAACCUAACUCAAUCAGUUGUAAAGAAUAUUAAGAAGACAAAAGAAAAAAACAAAACAGAAUACAUCAAAAGAGAGAACAUGGUUCGUUCUUCAAUUACUAACAGAGGUAUAAAAAAAAAGACAUAAGGAAAACCACUACAAAAUGUUGUAUGUCCAUCAAAUGCACCAUGUGCAACAAUUGCUGUUUGAAAAUGUAAAAAUCAGUGUGAGUGUAAAUUUACUUACCAAGAAUUCUGAAGUUUGCAUGUAGCGUAGUGAUAUUCAGAGUUAACUCAGA